CGGCCAUCCACCGAGGCCAAGUGGAGAAGCCUCGGAAGAAGCUGACUCUGCCAACCCCUUGAUCUCAGGCUUCUGCAGAAUUUGCUCAGUCGUGUCCGACUCUUGCGACCGCAUGGACCGCAGCCUGCCAGGCUCCUCUGCCCUUGGGAUUCUCCAGGCAAGAAUACUGGAGUGGGUUGCCAUUUCCUUCUCCAGAAGAUUAACUGUCUUAAAACAACCAAGGUGAUGCUAGUCAGACCACUGAUGACCAAUCUGAAGAUGACUGUUAGAGAUGACUGUGCUGUUUCUGGAUGUUGCCCACCUCCGACUCUGCCUGUAAACUUUCUCACCCCUUGCUUGUUGGCCGGGGGUGAGGGGGUGG
Molecule: long non-coding RNA, 361 nt
Organism: Bos taurus (domestic cattle)
Lineage: Eukaryota; Metazoa; Chordata; Mammalia; Artiodactyla; Bovidae
Source: Ensembl